RNAcentral lists this ribosomal RNA (494 nucleotides) under uncultured bacterium. RNAcentral's name for it is "partial 16S ribosomal RNA". It matches the Rfam family "Bacterial small subunit ribosomal RNA", at positions 28 to 523 of the family's 1533-position model. The record is from RNAcentral.
GAUGAACGCUAGCGGCAGGCUUAACACAUGCAAGUCGAGGGGUAUAGGUUUUCGGACCUAGAGACCGGCGCACGGGUGCGUAACGCGUAUGCAAUCUACCUUUUGCAGAGGGAUAGCCCAGAGAAAUUUGGAUUAAUACCUCAUAGUAUAACACAAUCGCAUGAUUGAGUUAUUAAAGUCACAACGGCAAAAGAUGAGCAUGCGUCCCAUUAGCUAGAGGGUAAGGUAACGGCUUACCAUGGCCACGAUGGGUAGGGGUCCUGAGAGGGAGAUCCCCCACACGGGUACUAAGACACGGACCAGACUCCUACGGGAGGAAGCAGUGAGGAAUAUUGGUCAAUGGACGCAAGUCUAAACCAGCCAUGCCGCGUGCAGGAUGACGGUCCUAUGGAUUGUAAACUGCUUUUGUACAGGAAGAAACACUCCUUCGUGAAGGAACUUGACGGUACUGUAAGAAUAAGGAUCGGCUAACUCCGUGCCAGCAGCCGCCGUAA